CCUACGGGAGGCAGCAGUGAGGAAUAUUGGUCAAUGGGCGAGAGCCUGAACCAGCCAAGUCGCGUGAAGGAUGACGGCCCUACGGGUUGUAAACUUCUUUUGUCAGGGAGCAAUUGGGUCCACGCGUGGGCUUAGCGAGAGUACCUGAAGAAAAAGCAUCGGCUAACUCCGUGCCAGCAGCCGCGGUAAUACGGAGGAUGCGAGCGUUAUCCGGAUUUAUUGGGUUAAAAGGGUGCGUAGGCGGAAUAUCAAGUCAGCGGUAAAAAUUCGGGGCUCAACCCCGUCGUGCCGUUGAAACUGAUGUUCUGGAGUGGGCGAGAAGUAGGCGGAAUGCGUGGUGUAGCGGUGAAAUGCAUAGAUAUCACGCAGAACUCCGAUUGCGAAGGCAGCAUACCGGCGCCCAACUGACGCUGAAGCACGAAAGCGUGGGUAUCGAACAGGAUUAGAUACCCGAGUAGUC
RNAcentral lists this ribosomal RNA (460 nucleotides) under uncultured bacterium. RNAcentral's name for it is "partial 16S ribosomal RNA". It matches the Rfam family "Bacterial small subunit ribosomal RNA", at positions 338 to 795 of the family's 1533-position model. The record is from RNAcentral.